RNAcentral lists this ribosomal RNA (603 nucleotides) under uncultured fungus. RNAcentral's name for it is "eukaryotic LSU rRNA". It matches the Rfam family "Eukaryotic large subunit ribosomal RNA", at positions 23 to 641 of the family's 3401-position model. The record is from RNAcentral. Lineage: Eukaryota; Fungi.
ACCCGCUGAACUUAAGCAUAUCAAUAAGCGGAGGAAAAGAAACCAACAGGGAUUGCCCUAGUAACGGCGAGUGAAGCGGCAACAGCUCAAAUUUGAAAUCUGGCUCUUUUAGAGUCCGAGUUGUAAUUUGCAGAGGGCGCUUUGGCUUUGGCAGCGGUCCAAGUUCCUUGGAACAGGACGUCACAGAGGGUGAGAAUCCCGUACGUGGUCGCUGGCUAUUGCCGUGUAAAGCCCCUUCGACGAGUCGAGUUGUUUGGGAAUGCAGCUCUAAAUGGGAGGUACAUUCCUUCUAAAGCUAAAUAUUGGCCAGAGACCGAUAGCGCACAAGUAGAGUGAUCGAAAGAUGAAAAGCACUUUGGAAAGAGAGUCAAACAGCACGUGAAAUUGUUGAAAGGGAAGCGCUUGCAGCCAGACUUGCUUACAGUUGCUCAUCCGGGCUUUUGCCCGGUGCACUCUUCUGUAGGCAGGCCAGCAUCAGUUUGGGCGGUAGGAUAAAGGUCUCUGUCACGUACCUCUCUUCGGGGAGGCCUUAUAGGGGAGACGACAUACUACCAGCCUGGACUGAGGUCCGCGCAUCUGCUAGGAUGCUGGCGUAAUGGCUGU